Molecule: ribosomal RNA, 36 nt
Filed under: Eucalyptus ebbanoensis subsp. ebbanoensis
Lineage: Eukaryota; Viridiplantae; Streptophyta; Magnoliopsida; Myrtales; Myrtaceae
Description: partial 18S ribosomal RNA
Source: RNAcentral
CAUUGUAGAAUCCUGCUCGUCCGAAGGACUAGAGAA